UCCUGAUGCAGGUGCUGCUGUUGGAAGAGUUUUUGGGGAAGAGUUCCAGUUGUGAAACACAGAAAUGGUGAUGGAUACAGCAGGGGGCCACUAAAGGGCACAGUGGGAUUGCAUGGCUGCAAAUAAGGCCCAGAACUUGUGACUGCUCUGUGAGUUCACAACAGCAUCUGCAGGAGAGAUUGCCUCACAAAACUGGGUGCUUCAGUCUCCACAAUCAAAAAGAAGAAACUUCCAGCCAUUUAUGACAGGCUUGGUGGAAAUCUGAACUUUGCAGAAAUUCCACCAAAGAGAGAAGGUAUGAAUG
Lonchura striata (white-rumped munia) is the source of this 304-nucleotide non-coding RNA. The record is from RefSeq and is a predicted model, not a curated record. NCBI's taxonomy places the organism in Eukaryota, Metazoa, Chordata, Aves, Passeriformes, Estrildidae.